Parus major (Great Tit) is the source of this 9131-nucleotide long non-coding RNA. RefSeq lists it as uncharacterized. NCBI's taxonomy places the organism in Eukaryota, Metazoa, Chordata, Aves, Passeriformes, Paridae. The record is from RefSeq and is a predicted model, not a curated record. The transcript has 2 exons.
AUCAGCACCUUCAACUUCUCCUCUUUCCUCAGCUGCCUUAAAGGUAAAGUUACUCUAUGAUAACAGCAUCCAUGCUGUCUUCCAGAACAUUUUUUUUCUCACAUUCGUUGUUCGAUUAUCAACAGAUAUUCAUUAACUUUUUGCUAAUCGUUCUACCUUUACAAUAUCCUCUUAUUAAAAUAAUCACUGUCGAUCUCUUUUUCAGUUCCACUCCGAGAGUCUUCCUCCUGCCUCUUAUCAAUAUUUAGCACCUGCCAUUGAAGGGAGGUCUAGACAUGAGCAAAGUCAUUCAGGAGGGAGAGCACCACCAGCUUUUGACAGCAAUCUUCAACCUCAGGCUCCUGAGCAACAUCCUGGAGUAUGGCCAGCAAGUGUAAGGCAGGUGAAAUAUUCCCUCCCAUAAGCAACAAAAAAAGAGGUGUUUUCCCCCCUCCCACUUUCAACCUCUUCCUUCAAUUCAUCACCACCAAAUUCCAUACAGUGUUUGCCCCAAACUCUUCUCUAUCCUGGAGGGAAAUAGAAGGAAUAAAAUGAAAAAGAGCAGCAGAUUAUAAUAACAGAAGGAAACAAACUGAACAAAAUCAUCUUAUUCAUUUGUUUGUCAUGGAUAGAGAAAAAACUAGACUUGGUCUGAGAAAACUAAGCAGGAAGUUGUAAAAUGUCAUUGAUGUAGCAAAAGGGAGGUUAUACUCCAGCACCAGAGAAAAGUCACAAGGCAAAAACAUUCUCAGAUUUUAUUCCUGUUAUUGACACCUUAUAUUAUUACAUAUGAAGGAAAAUUCACAAUCUGACAGGAAAAUUCACAAUACAGAGAAAAAUAUGAAAUUCUUUGUGUUAUUAAAGGGUAAAUAUUUUUUCUUAAGACUACUGUAUAUUGGGUUUGCUUCUCUACUAGACUUUAGCUUUUCUUUCUUAUCUUCCUUGCAGUACAGACUAUACAGAGGAAAAAAUAUAUUAUUCCACUCAAGAGGAAGUUAUGAGUACACUUAACUCAUGAGCUGAGGUGAAGGCUUAGGUUCAUCUUUAACCCAUGCUUUAUUGUAUAAAGAAGAAUUUGAUAAUUUCUGUGCUUUCACCAAAGAGAGAAUACCCAUGGGAAAUUGGGAUGUGGUGCCUGUAGGACUUUAUGGCCUUUGUGCAUGAUGACUAAUUGAUCAAUGAAAAAAACAGAUUACACAGUUCUCCAGUUAAGGAGUUGUUUUUUUUCCUGUCUGGGACCUAAUGAGAGAAUGAUCCCCAAGAGCCACCCACUAAGGAAGAAACAAGCAGUACAUAUAGUAUAAUGAUGUGAAUUCAAUAGCCACCAAUUCAUUUUAAAAUACAUUUGUGCACAUCCUUCCUCUGGAAGAAAUUCCUUUGUAAUCUGUCCUGUUCCACUGGGGUUGGCAAACAUCUGUGUGUGCAGCUGGGGAGAAGAUGGGGGAAUUUAUUUUAUCAGGUUUUUCUCUAGCAAGGUUUAACCUUCCUUACAGCCAUGUUCUCUUCCUCUCCUAAUGCCUUCCCUCAGACAUUUCCUUUUAAGCAGUCCUACUAUGUGCAAGACCCACGUUUUACUUAGAUAUUUAAUUCAAGCUAUUUAUACCAAGGGUUAUUCUAAUGCCAGACAGCUGGACAAAGCCCAUGUCCAUAUUAAGGCAGAUGCAUGUUCCCAAACCCCUUUGAUCCUGCUUGUCAUCUUCUUCCAGAUGCACUAAUCAACAGCCAGCAGCAAAGUGAAAACUAAAUAAUAUUGGUUUAUCUUUUGCUCCUUCAGCAAUAAACCCUCUCUCAUUUGCUACCAAAGGCAAAGAUAAGCCCUGUAAAGAGGUCAGAAACCCCAGCAUCUGUUGCAUUGAUUUAUUCUCACAUGGAAUAAAAUAAUUUAUUUGAAGUACCUUAUUAGACAGUUGCAUCAUGUGGCAUUUUCCUUCUUUCAAAAGAUAAGAGAUGAUGAACAUGGAGAGAGAGAAAGAAGAUAGGCACUACAGUGAGCAGUGGCAAAAGCAUUGGGCAAGGCAAAGAACAGGGGAAAGGAAGGUGAGUUGAGGAAACAGGAGCAGAAAAUGAUAGUGAAAAAAUACUUACUAAGCGCUGAUUUCCAGGACUAGGUUUGCUGAACUCUUUUUCACACAAAAUUUCACAAAUACAUCAAUAAAGACUGGAAUACUUAAAAGGUAUUUAAAUAGAGCAAGUGUACAGACCCUAUGGGAGCUUCACAGCAAUAUGGUUUGAGUCUGCUAUAUAUAAAAAUCCUGCCUAGAUAGAGAGUUUGGUCUAUUUGAGUGACUGUCAAGUGGGGAAGAAAGAGGUUGUUUUUAAUGAUCAUUCAGAGCUUGAAUAUAGAUUAGAAAACGGACUGGCUUUGUCCCACCCUUCAAAAAGGUGCCUGAUUAGGACCUUCCAUGUGGUUUUGUACCGUUUCCACGGGUUCAGCAGAGAAUGUUUCUCCCUCCUGGACCUGGCCCACAUGUGGAGGGAAAGGCCAUGACAAGUGUUGUCCUCUCAUGGUGGCCAACCCCAGGGGACAGGGGUGGGACAUGGGGCCAGACAAUGCCCAGGGAGAUGGUCCAAGGCCCUCUCUGGGAUGGGCAGGUGGCCAUGUCCCCCUCAGGGGAGCUCGAGUCCAGAUCACUCUUGCCAGCACAACGCCAGCACCCCAAAACACCCGGCAUGAGGCACCCCUGUCCCUGCCAGGAGAGUGGAGGGGACACAGCCCCGACCACCCUCACCGCGGAGGGGGAGAGGCUCAGGGCUGCCAGGCUCAUGGAGCUCAUCCCCUCACCUGAGAACUGCUCCUUGGCUCCUCGGGUGCAUUAUCAACUCUACCACCAGCCUGUGGGAUUGUAGGGUGGAUCUUAGCGCUCGUGGGGAAUGGGGGUUGUGUGAGGGACGCGGCUGCUCCAGCCACCUCCGCCUGAGGGGAGCGCCCCGAGCGGACAGCGAGGUGAGGGGGGAGAGCUGUCCCCUCGGCUCCCGGCGGCUGAGGGAAGAAGUGCCGGGGAGCUGCUCUUCCGGCCCGGCCCCUCUGCCCAUCCCCGUUUGCUGUGAGCUGCUUUUUGCUCGGUUUGGGUUGUUUGCCCUGUCCGUGCAGUCGCGUCGGUGAGAGCUCGGCCCGGCUGUGCUUCCCGGCCCUGUGCCGCUCUGGGGGUUUGUUCUGGGCCGGGACACCUCCCUUCCCUCCCGUCCGUCCUUCCCUCGGUUCCCUGCCGCUCCCCUCAGGGCUCCUCUGGCCCCUCUCGGACUGUUUGGCUCGGGUUGCCAGCCCUGCUGUGGCACACCCGGGGCUGUGUCCCUUGUCCCUCAGUGAGCGGGGCUCCGGAGCGCAGUGUCGGGGUCCCCUCCCUUCGGGGUGCUCGCCCUGGCGGGUUAAAAAUCUCCUGCAGGAUCUUUUCCUUUCCGGUUGUGCUGUUGUGCUGUUGUGCUCUUUUUCUCUCGAUUUUCACCACAACCUCCUUAUUAAACGUGGAUCAAACAGAAACGUAAGUGUAAAAUACUGCAUUGUGCGUGGAUAUGCUGUAAGGCACUCUUGGGCAUGCAUUGUUCUGGCUCUAAACCUGAGAAAAGUUACCAUGUUGUCGAGGACCUAAAGAGGCAAUGCAAAACCUCUCUUGUACCACCACAUCUUCUCUUAUUUCUGAGACCUUUGUCAUCGUUUGCUGUCAGUACUUCGACAUGAGAGAUCCACAGUGGUAUGUGCUGUGCCUAUUCACAGACAGGCCCCUCCUAAAAGAUGAUAAAUUCCAAGUAAAAGUAGAGGAGAAGUAAAAGAAAGAGAAAACAGCUUGUGCAAGGUCACACAGAGGUCACUGGGGGAAAAAAAUAAAUUGGGUGGUUAAAAAAAGAAUAAAAAUGUGACAAUUCCAAUGAUUUCCACAUUUAUCUCCAUAUCACUGGCAGUGAUGACACAGCAGCAUGUCCAGAAUAGAUGUCAGUGACGUAGUGUCAUCAUCUAGAUCUGGUGUCACUGCCUUGAAGGUUUCUCUGACAUAACUCAAAUGAUCUUGCAGAAAUAGAAAUUUUAGGGAAGAGCUACUUGAACUGUGCAUGUGCUGCCAAUCGUGAAAAGUGAUGCUUUUGGUUGUGUGUAUCUGUGCAUUUUUAAUGGACAGAAAGUUGAAGAGAAUAUAGAGAGUGAUAACCAAAAGCAGCGUAGAAGCAUGAAAUUUAUAGAGAAGCUUUCAGUCAAGGCAGAUUUGUUUUAAGAACCCUUAAUGAAAGCUAAAGCUGUGUUAUGGUAGUCCAGACAAUAAAUAAGAGAGAACAACUAAGUAAGACUCAACAGAUCCCAAGUACAAAGCUUGUUUAUGAAAAUUCACAGAAUAUGCACUUAGAGAUAUCUUCAUCCCUUGGUUGUUGAUUUGAACCCAAGCAAGACAGAUGAAUGAAAAUAAUUUUAUCUCAGACAUCCCACUAAAAAUGCAGAAUGCCAACAUUCUUCAGUUUGUCUCUUGGUUACAGGUCUCCGUGUUUCUAUCUCCCAUUUCUCUCCUCUGCAUGCAGACACACAUAGAAAAUAAAAUUAAUUAGAGAAAUUGUAUUAAUCCUUAGCUGCAAAGUUAUCUUGCCUUUUUGAGAGUUAAAGGCAGAUUUACUCCUCCACAAACAUCUAAAUAAUGUUCACACUCUACUCCCCUGUCUCUUCAUUAAAUUUUACUCUGUCAGUUCUUUUAAAAAUUAGUCUUAGCAAGUCGCCAAUGCAUUUUUCAACUAUGGUGUAAAUAUGACUGACUUUUAGUAGGAAUGGUGUCUGCUGAAAAGCUACAGAGGCAAGCCUAGAGCCAAAACCAGGGUAAAAUCCUAACUAAUUGGCUGCUCUCUUAAUGGAUAAUCAGAUUUCCUAGCUCCAGUGAUUUUUUCAGUACACCAUGCUCACUAUAGAGCGUUUUAAAUCCAUCCCCAAAUGCUUCAUUCACACUAUUCAACAUUCCAAGUGCUGUUCCUCCCACCCAUCUGUCUGGCACAUGAAUUGCCAAACACCUUUCCUCGGCUGGGUCUUUGUGAAGUUGGUGCAAAAAGAGGUGCAAGGAGUCUCUCGCUGAAGGUCCUGCACAGCCCCAGGACCUCUGUGCAGGAGGAGUGAAAUCCCCAGAGCUCGCCUUGGAGGCCGGCAGCAGCACCAGGUUUGGUUCACUGGAACCAGUGCUGCUGCCUCCCUGGCGGAUCUGGAGAUCAGGUGUGUGAAAUUCUUUCACCACAAGGUAAUGUGUGUCCUUUUCUAACUUUGAAACACGCAUUUAUGUAACCUUUUUUUUAUUGUAUGUCAGACGUAUUUUAUUCUCAUACUUUUCAGCUUCCUUUUUUUUUUUUUUUCUUUUGUAGUAAUUUGAAAUUAAAUUAAAAAUAAAGUAGCAUUACUCAUCCAGCAGAUGGUCAGUGGGCCACCAAUACCAAUUGCUUUUUUUAACAGCCCUUUUUCAGGUAAUGUGUUGCCCAGUUUGUCCUGGUUAUAGGUCCAGUGGCUCAGCAGUUGGUUCAAGUGGAUCAGAAACAGCACAUUGAGCCAAUCCUUAAAUCAUCCAUUGCUUUAUUGCCAGCUUCAUAUGGAUUAUAAAGUGAAGUAAGACAAAACUGAUGCUGGUGGUUAAGUUGUGCCACUGAGCACUAAAGAGAAGGCUGAUAAAUCAGCUUUUAAAGAUGCUGUGUGGCUAACAUGGAAAUACAGGCAUUGUUUGGCAGAGGGAGGUUCUACAUUUUUGACUUUGUAUUGAUUUUGAUUGCCAGUGCAAGUACUAUUUAAGAAAGAAACUAUUCCUCCAGGGCCCUCCACUUAAUACAGUUAUUGUAGCCUCCUUAUCCUGUUAAAAUGAAGAGAAUCGGAUUGCUCUGGGUUGAACAGCUGCUUGAAGUCAAUCUCUGUGUCCACUGUUAAGGGAAACAACGUUAGUGAAGGGAAGCAGAAGGCAGCAUAUCAAAAUGAUAUCCUGAAAGCAUUUUCUGCAGAUGUCUCGAGAGUUCAUGGGCUAUUAUAAAGCAUAGAAGACAUCUGGUCACAUUUUUAUAAUCUCAUCAGCGUAUAUAGAAAAGCCUUCUCCUGUUUACCUUGUCAAGAGCCACAGAAAGGCUUAUAUAUUUCUUUAUAUGCUUAUUUAUCUUAUUGGUACGGGAACAUACUGAUUCUUAACUAUCCAAAUCAGCUUAAUGUGUCAUUAAGUCACCAAGUUAUUUCACUGUAACAUCUGACUCUCUCCUGCUUAUUUAUAGCUCUUCAUUGAAUCACUUUGUGAAGCAGGAGGCUUGGGGAUAUUUUUAUACUGUGUUAUGGGGCGUGUUGUCUUUCAUCUGCAAGUGCUGUGAAAUCACCCUUUCCUGCUCCAGAGUACCAUUGUACUUUUGUUCAGUGUUAACAACACCUCAGUGUGGUUUGUGGGAGCACUUUACUUCUCCCCUGGAAGGAGAACACUAAAUUGGCUGAUUCUGCAAGCACCACUGCAGCUUCCAAAAUCCAGGCAUGAUGAAUUUUUUCUGGUGCCCUGCUCUCACAGGUUAACAUGGGCUGUCCAGCCACGUUUUCUGGGUGCUGUGGAAUCCCAAUUAGACCAAGAGCAUAUUGCAGAGCCUAAUUUUGAUGAACCAACAUAGCAGGCUUUAUUUACUGUGAUUUGUCAUCUUGACCUAGUUUGAUGUGGACAUUUCUUUCCUAAGAAUUAAUUAAAGCAGAAAAACAAAAAAAAUAUUCUGCCUUUGUUUUGCCUGGAGGACAGCAUUAUUGUACCCUGUUGCAACAUUUGACAGUAUUUCUUAAACCAAGACUUUUUAUUUAAAUUGCCAACAUACUGGACAAUUUAUUUCAUUUACAUGAUCAUAUUUCUGAAGACCACACAAGCCAUGCUGCUAUCCUUCAGGAGUGUUUUUGCUGUCAUUUUGUUCUCAUUACCUGUUUUGACCAAGGUCUAUAUGAAAUGUCUUCAUUUAUCUGCAUAAUUGGUCAAGUCUAUUUUUUUUUCUUCAGUCUUCCCUUCCACUUCUAGACCAGCCCUAGACCUAUAUGUGAUGUCAGGUCUCUGCCAGGAUACAAGCAGUUCCUUUGGGGAAUGACAUGGUGUGGCAUGCCAGUGCUCACUAACACUAUUUGCUGUAGUCUGAGGGGGUUUGUCUGAAGCAAGGGCAAAUUUUCUGCUACCUAAAUUCUGCAUAAACAGAAGUAGUUACUUAAUAGCUGUACCUCAAAAUUAAAAUGUCAGACCUGCCUCAUGCUAUUCCAAUUGUUGGGUCAGACCCACAAAAUACAAUAAGCUGUCCUUUACAAAGCAAAAUUGUUCUCCCUUCCCGCCCUGAAUUCUGAAGAGACAGGAGUUCUAAUGUGUUGUGUACUUCCUAAAAGAACAGAGGAAUUGGAUCUAUUCGUACUGGAGGUUACAUCCAAUGUCUCCUUCACAAACACUGAUAAAGGAGCCUAAGUGGUAAUGCCCUGAGUUCAGGGCUGGCCUGGGAUGCUUCCAGGUGUUCUGCCACAUUUUCCCUGGAGAGAGCAAGCUGUGCUCAAGUACUUGGUGCAGCAGGAGCUGCCAGGAACCUGCCACAGUUCAGUGGAAAACAUCAGCUGAUGAUGCCCCAAUAAAGGCGUGAGACUGAUGCAGUAGCCAGGAUCUGCAAGAUCCUGCCAGAUGAUUCUGCCUGGUGUCUCCCUUCAGCAGGAGAUAAACUUCUGGAUCAGGCAGCUGCAGCCUUCCUGGCCUAGGACUCUGCACUGCUUUCCUUGGCAACAGCCUGGAGUGGAUACUGGAGGAUGGUGGCUACUUGCCUAAGGAUGCUGGAGAACAGGCUGCUUCUGCAAGAGGUAUUGAAACACACAGGUGAAGUCCCACUGAGCCUCUCCUUCUCCGGGAUGAGAAGUCACAACUCUUUCAGCCUCUCCACGCCAGAGACUCUUCAGUCCCUCAGUCAUCUUUGUGACUCUUCCCUGGAUUUGCUCCUUCCCAGGGAUGAAGAUGAGGCUGACUGCCUGUAGAUUCCUGAAUCCUCUUCCUUAGAAGGAAGAUAAAGGGAACCUUUGCUUUUCCAAUCCUGAGAAACAUCUCCUGAUCACUAUGACCUUUCAAAGAUACUUGAGUGUGGCCUCACAAUGACAUUGGCAGCUCCCCCAGUGCUUGAAGCACAUUCCAUCAGGCCCCACAGACUUGGAUAUGGCCUGUUUGUUUAUCUGCUUCCUAGCCAGCUUCCCCAUGACAGAGCAUAAAUCUCCUUUUCAACAGUAGCAAACUCAAGGAAAGCACCAAAUAAGCUGCUGUCCUUGCAGCCAUUGACCGCACAGAAGGAUUUCCCCACAACUGUGCCAAGUGCUUGCAGGAUGUGCUGUACAGAAGUAGUGGGAAGUCACAGCGCUCUUGCACAAGGAAGUUUCCCAGUACAAACCAGUCCUAUGUGGCUUAGUGCCCAAGCAUGGAGCAAUGUUGUUCCAUGGGUAACUCCACAGCAAGUCGUGAGCUGCGUUUGAAAACUUAUGAAAGGAACUUAACAAGUGAGAUAUAGAUGUGAUGAGUAAAGGAACAUGAAAGCAAAACAUUAAAUGGAUUAUUUUCUCACAUGCACUUUUAUCAAUUCAAGUAUCUAUAUGUAGUCAACGUGCUGUCUGACAUAAUCACCAACUGAAUUUUCCUUUAAUCAACCAUAUGUGUUUUCCCUUCAGAAGAGUUUUCCCAUGCUACUUUAUAUUUUCUGAUAUCUUUCCUUGUUUUAAUCCCGGUUACAUCUGGAGAUAAAAUCCAGUACUCUCACAGAUUGCUUGUUGUAGGAGACCCUUUGAGAAUGCCAGCUGCAGAUUUACAGCUCAACAGACUUUGACCUGACAUGGCUUUUUUUCCCUCUGAAACUUACUUCUAAAUCACAUCUCUGUUUUUUCCAUUGCUUGGUUCAGCUUAUAUUUCUUUGGUUCAAUAUUUGAACCCUAUCACACUGCUGAAUUACAUACCUCUUAAUGUGGGAUGUGGGGUUAUAAUUGUUCAAGCUGUUAAGGUGUCUGUUCACCAGAAGCCCCUGUGGGAAGGCACAGCUGCGGGUUGGGGGGUGAGAGACAGCUGUGACUUGUGGCCAGCACAUUGCAGCUGUGCCAGCCAGUGGGUGCCCUUUUCCCGCUAUGUUUUGGUUUUAUCUGGUUGAGAUUGAAGGUAUAAAGGGGGGUAACUUCUAAAAUAAAGUGAUUUCCUUGGCAUGCA